GACAGCGAGAAGGGAGCAUGAGCGGGGAGGAGACGGAGAAGCAGGCUCCCCACUGAGCAGGGAGCCCGCGGCGGGACCCGAUCCCGGGAACCUGGGAGCAAGACCCCAUUGGAAGGCAGACGCCCAACUGUCGGAGCCACCCAGCUUCAUGAUUUCCACGCUGGUUCCUUGUCUACAACGCCUGGAGGGCGAGAACACAGACACUCUCCCAGGUACGGGUAUGCGGCCCGCCCCAUGUCACGCUGCAGGACGUGGGCAGGCGCUCCUCAGGUGAGCGCGGAAAUGCAGCUCAAGUAUUUUCUACAUUGAAACAAUCACAGAAAUCGUCCAAUGCCGCGUGGUUCUCUGCCCCUCCCCCUUUCUCUUGGCCUCUUCACGAGCAGGUGGGGUGUUCUCCACUUCGGGUGCAUCGGAAUCACUCAGGGGGUUUGUGAGAUCCGAGUUUUGACCCUGUAGGUCUGGGGUAGGCGCCACGAAUCUGCUUUCCUAACUCCCGGGUGAUCCCGGGACCACAAUCUGACCCACAAAAAAUCAUGGGCACCUGCUGCCUUCCACUUCCCCUCAGCUCACUCUAAGCUGGUUUCCGGGGUUUCUGAUUUCUCGGCCCA
This is a long non-coding RNA of Zalophus californianus (California sea lion), 608 nucleotides long. RefSeq lists it as uncharacterized. The transcript has 3 exons. NCBI's taxonomy places the organism in Eukaryota, Metazoa, Chordata, Mammalia, Carnivora, Otariidae. The record is from RefSeq and is a predicted model, not a curated record.